GUUUUUGGAUCUUGGUGGGAAAUCUGAUGCCUGUUGGCUAUAUACAUUGCUAGCUAUGGUUGGAUAACAAUUUGAUCAUGGAGAUGAAAUUUGUGGAGUAGUUGUCAAUGUCAGAGC
This is a long non-coding RNA of Quercus lobata, 117 nucleotides long. RefSeq lists it as uncharacterized. NCBI's taxonomy places the organism in Eukaryota, Viridiplantae, Streptophyta, Magnoliopsida, Fagales, Fagaceae. The transcript is spliced from 2 exons. The record is from RefSeq and is a predicted model, not a curated record.